Xiphophorus couchianus (Monterrey platyfish) is the source of this 2589-nucleotide RNA transcript. It is a transcript of the gene named acyl-CoA synthetase short chain family member 1, with no coding region annotated. The transcript is spliced from 13 exons. Lineage: Eukaryota; Metazoa; Chordata; Actinopteri; Cyprinodontiformes; Poeciliidae. The record is from RefSeq and is a predicted model, not a curated record.
GAUUAUCUUAGAAACAAUGUUUUAAUAUUAAUUUGAUGAGAGAUUUAAUGCGAAAGGAGCUCAAUAUUUAUUUUGCACACAGUUUAGUAUUUUUCUUAAAGGAACGAAAUAUCGGCAGAUAGUUUUUUUCUUUUUCCUUUUUUUUUCUUUUAGUGACCGCCCUUUAACUCACCAAGCCCUUCCUCUCAGGACUUUCCAAGAUUUCCAGCGCAAAAACAGCGAGCGCAACAUUCCAAUCUUUCAUCAUUAAACUUUUCUCCUUUUGCGGAAAUGGUUUGCUCGCUUUCUUUGCACAGCUCGGACUAAGUUCAGCAACACUAUGUGGCUUCCUUGCAAAUGCACUACGAAGUAUGUGGCUGCCAUCAGACGUGGCGUCUCGGCAUCUUUUCUUCAUGUUUUGCGCCGCGGCAGGGGCAGCUGGAACUCGGCGGCCUUCAUGCCGGAGUCGGCGGGCUUCGAGGGCGUUUCUGGCCGCGACGCUCUGCACGACUACUCGGUCUCCCACGGCGAGAGCUUCUGGGACGCCGUGGCCCGCCAGAGGCUGAGCUGGAUCCGACCUUUCGACGCUGUGCAGGACUGCGAUCUGAGCCAAGGGAGGAUUAAGUGGUUCGAGGGCGGAAAGCUGAACGUCUCCGUGAACUGCUUGGACCGCCAUGUGCACACCUGUCCAGAGAGAGUGGCCCUGAUAUGGGAGAGGGAUGAGCAGGGGUCAGAGGUCAGGUACACAUACAGGGAGCUACUGGAUCUGACAUGCCGCUUGGGGAACCUGUUGAGGCGGUAUGGCGUAAAGAAGGGGGACUGCGUCACCAUCUACAUGCCCACCUGCCCUCUGGCAGUGGCGUCCAUGUUGGCCUGUGCCCGGAUUGGUGCUGCUCACAAUGUGGUGUUUGCAGGCUUCAGUUCAGAAGCCCUGGCAGAGCGCAUAAGAGACGCUCAGUCCAGCACCGUCAUCACCGUGAACCAGGGCGUCCGGGGCGGGAAGAUCGCAGAGCUGAAGAGGACGGUGGACGCAGCCGUCCAGAGCUGUCCGACUGUCCAGCAGGUGUUUGUGGCCAUGAGAACUGAAAAACAAGUCGAGAUGACAGACAGGGACUUCGCCUUGGAGGAGGAGAUGCUGAAGGAGGACGUUGUGUGUGAGCCAGCUGCUAUGGACAGCGAGGACGUCCUGUUCCUGUUGUACACAUCUGGUAGCACGGGGAAGCCCAAAGGCCUGGUCCACACGCAGGCUGGAUACCUGCUUUAUGCUGCUCUCACACACAGGUACGUCUUCGGCUACCAUGACGGGGACGUGUUCGGCUGUGUGGCAGAUAUAGGCUGGAUUACUGGACACAGUUACACAGUGUACGGGCCCCUGGCCAAUGGAGGGACCACCGUUCUGUUUGAGAGCACUCCAGUGUAUCCUGACCCAGGGAGAUACUGGGACAUGGUGGAGAGGCUGAGGAUCAACCAGUUUUACGGAGCUCCCACUGCAAUCCGCCUCCUGAUCAAAUACGGAGACCAGUGGGUGAAGAAGUACGACCGCUCCUCCCUCACCACACUCGGCUCUGUGGGUGAGCCGAUCAACACAGAAGCGUGGGAGUGGUACAACAGGGUGGUCGGCGAAGGACGCUGUCCUGUAGUGGACACCUGGUGGCAAACCGAAACAGGCGGCAUCUGCAUCGCCCCAAAGCCAUCAGAACCAGACGCAGAGAUUGUCCCGGGGAUGGCCAUGAGACCCUUCUUUGGCAUCAAGCCGGUGCUCAUGGACACCGAGGGAAAGUUACUGACUUCCAACAACACAUCCGGAGCUCUGUGUAUGGCUCAGCCGUGGCCCGGCAUGGCAAGAACCAUUCACAACAACCACCAGAGAUUCUUUGAGACCUACUUCCAGCCUUAUCCAGGGUACUUCUUCACGGGUGAUGGAGCCUAUCGUUCUCAGGAGGGUUACUACCAGAUCACAGGGCGUCUGGAUGACGUAAUCAACGUCAGCGGCCACAGGAUCGGGACAGCAGAGAUAGAGGACGUAGUGGAGUUUACGCCUUCGUGGUCCUGAAGAAGGGUGUAGACAUACAGGAGGCGGAUCUGUCCAAGCAGCUGAACAACAUGGUGUCUGAAAAGAUUGCCAAGUAUGCUUGUCCUGACUUCAUUCAGUUGGCUAAACGGUUACCUAAGACGCGUUCGGGAAAGAUCAUGCGGCGCGUUCUGCGCAAAGUUGUGGACUCUGACCUGGAUGGUUUGGGGGACCUGAGCACGCUGGACGAUCCAGCAGCGGUUCAGGAGAUCAUCGAAGGCCAUGAAAAGCUCUUAAGUAAAUAAGAAGCAUCGGAGUAACUUUCCUGAAAACAAUGAAAUGUAAAGGAGGCUGUGAAGGAUAACUUGCACAUUCCCAUCAACCACACAUGUGCCUUUAAAGAAAAACUUAUUUUAAUCACCAAACGUUUUAUUAGAUUGUACAUAUAAAUCUAUUUUAACAAUCCAUGUAUCUUCAUUAUAAGACUGUGAAACUUUCAGAUGUGGUUAUGAAUAACACCGUUGCAAAAAUAACUUUAAUGCACUUAAGAAGUGUUUUUCUAUGUGAUUUGUGACACAAUAAAAAGUUUUUUGGGUCCA